CACAAAUCCGCGUUUACUGUACC
Molecule: non-coding RNA, 23 nt
Filed under: Arabidopsis thaliana (thale cress)
Lineage: Eukaryota; Viridiplantae; Streptophyta; Magnoliopsida; Brassicales; Brassicaceae
Source: RNAcentral